AUUGAACGCUGGCUGCAGGCCUAACACAUUCAAGUCGAACGAGUGCCGGACGGGUGUGUAAUGUCUGGGAAACUGCAUGAUGGAUGGGGAUCACUACUGGAAACGGUAGCUAAUCCCGCAUACCAUCAGAUGUGCCCAGAUGGGAUUAGCUAGUUGGUGGGGUAACGGCUCACCAAGGAGACUCUCCCUAGCUGGUCUGAGAGGAUGACCGGCCACACUGGAACUUAGACACGGUCCAGAAUCCACAGGGAGGCAGCAGUGGGGAAUAUUGCACAAUGGGCGCAAGACUGAUGCAGCCCUGCCGAGUGUAUGAAGAAGGCCUUCGGGUUGUAAAGUACUUUCAGCGGGGAGGCGUUACCCGCAGAAGAAGCACCGGCUAACUCCGUGCCAGCCGCCGCGGUAAUUC
This 406-nucleotide ribosomal RNA is filed under the name uncultured bacterium. RNAcentral's name for it is "partial 16S ribosomal RNA". It matches the Rfam family "Bacterial small subunit ribosomal RNA", at positions 30 to 526 of the family's 1533-position model. The record is from RNAcentral.